Poecile atricapillus (Black-capped chickadee) is the source of this 230-nucleotide long non-coding RNA. RefSeq lists it as uncharacterized. Lineage: Eukaryota; Metazoa; Chordata; Aves; Passeriformes; Paridae. The record is from RefSeq and is a predicted model, not a curated record. The transcript has 3 exons.
ACAGGCAGAGGCAGCUCUAGCAAUGCAGCUGCAAGUUUUUAGGCACUGAGGAUGUUUUACCAGUUCUCUACUUAUUCCUCUACCUCUGCUCCUGUCACUGCACAAGGAGUCUUGAAAACUCAGAGCCUUUGCUCAGCUACCAUCUGCUGACAUUAUGGAGCUAUUAUGUGACUCUGUGGAGUCACAGAAAAGAAGCAUGGUGAAUCACAAGGGAAGGGACCAGCUUUAUC